This is a long non-coding RNA of Zophobas morio, 2278 nucleotides long. RefSeq lists it as uncharacterized. The transcript is spliced from 4 exons. The record is from RefSeq and is a predicted model, not a curated record. Lineage: Eukaryota; Metazoa; Arthropoda; Insecta; Coleoptera; Tenebrionidae.
AAAUCUGUAAGAUAAGAAAUAUAAAGAAGUAUAUUAUUCUAUAAUCAAUAAAAAAUUAUUUGGUAUAUAAUUUUUACAGCACAGUGAAAAUGCCUAUAGUUGUAAUGCUUUAGGAUCUAUUUUACUAGCAAUUGAAUCUAAAGAGAGUAACCAGAGAUAUGGAGAAGGAGAAUGAGCUUCGACUUCUGCGCAUCGGUACACUAUGGGGGCCGCCAUUUUAUCAGUUAACCUUAAAGUUUUGUUUACCUACGAGGUUACGACGUUGUUGAACCAGUUGUAAUUUGGAGUUAAAAUUAUUACUUAAUUUGUUUUACCGUUAGUGUACGUGUGAACGUGCUUGUUAGUGUUAAAGGACAUUAUUAUUGACAACAAACAUGUCUUGUACAGUUUCUCACUGUAAAAAUUGUCAACGAUUUCGUUCAGAAGGUGUAUCUUUUCAUCAGUAAGUUUUCUUCAUUAUCUUAUUAAAAUCGAAUACGUAGAUAUUUAUAAUUAAUAACAAUUGGUUAUUGCAAUACUAUGUGAUCAAUAUUUAUUAUAUCUGAUUUUAGGUUUCCGAAAGAUCGAAAACUUUUAAAAAAGUGGCUGAUUGUUGUGAAAAAAGAUGACAGCUUCAAACUGACUAAGUAUAAGCUGGUGUGCUCAGAUCAUUUCACAACAACUGAUUUCAUUGUUGUAAAUGAGAGAAAACGAUUGAAAUCGAACGCAAUUCCCAGGGUGAAUUUAGAUGAAAGUCUAGAAGCUUCUUCAACUUCAAUGAGUACUGUGAGUGCUACUUCAGCUGAUAUUUGAGAAGAGUCUCCAUCGAUUAUACCUCAAGGUGUAAAGAGGACAUUAAGUGCUGCGCAGAGAUACCAUGGAAAAAGCAGUAGCAGUACAAGUGGAAGUAAAAGCAAGAACUCAAAAAGUAGUUCUGACAGGAGGGAAGGUGAUAAGCUGGCGUUACAUAAAGAAACUACAUGAAUUACAAAAUGAUGAAUUCCUAAAUGUUGCAAACAAGUUGAAAAAGGCACAUUUGGAGUGAUGGAAACAUAAAAUGAAAUUCUAUUAUAGGUGAGUUUAGCAGCACAAACUCUUAGCAAGAGUUGCAGAUGCACUUGAAUUUUUAAAACAUCUUGGUAUUAGUGACUUUCAAGGUUGUGAAACAACAAUAGAAUUCAUCAGAAGGAUAGAUUCUUUAUUUGAUAUUCUCAAUUCCUGAAGUGUACGUGCUAGAAUUUUAAGGCACCUUUGAGAGAAAACAAUGAAGAAAUGUGGCGUCCAUUUCUCAUCGACACCAGUGAGUAUCUUCUGAAUUUGAAGGAUGUCACUGGCAGGCCUUUGUGGUGCACGCCCCGAAAAACGUCAAUUCUGGGCUUUGUUAUUUCCGCUACGUCGUUCAUGGGAAUUUUUGAUGAAUUUGUUAGUAGUAAGAGGUUGAAUGACUUGCUAACAUAAAUGUAGUCAAGAUCAUCUAGAAAUUUUCUUCUGCUCAGUGCGGUAAGCUUUUAAAAAAACAAUUGUAUUACUUUUUUAUGCACUGGAAUUACACAAAUCUGUAUUUAUUUUUCUGUUUUCAGAUCGAGAAAUGGGUGAAACAAUAACCCUACUCCUCUACGAUUUUGUAAAACUUAGAAGAUUGCUUCUAUUUACAAACAUAACGAGGGAAGGAGGAAAUUGUAAAGUGCUUUGCACCACCUGUCUGCUCUCUGUUAGCAUUGGCCCAAAGCAAAAGAGCACAAAUGUUCAACAAUCAGUUGACGUGUUUGUCUUGAAAAAAUAUGAUCUUGAUAUUUUGACUGAAGCACUUGCAGAUCAUGACUAUGAACGUCUAAUUUUAUUGGGCUGAGUGAAGUGGCAGAAAACGUGGCAUAUAUUGGUAGCUAUGUUGUCAAAAUGCUGGUGAAGACGUUUAAGUGCGCAGACUGCAUUUCUUCUUGCAUUGAAACACGAGGAAGUGACUUACAGUUUUACAGAUUAUUGGACAAAAAAAACAUGGGUGGGCUUAUUAAACCUUUUGCUGGGGUUGUGAAGACUUGUUGUUACUGUUAAUACGAAAAAUUUUGCAACUCACCGAUAAACUUCCAAGCGAUGAACAAUUUUUUAAAACUUUCGGCAUGCCAGCAUUCUUUUUCCUAAUUUAGAAGACCCACGCACUCGAGACGGUGGCCAUCGAUGAAGGCCAUUUAUAUAUUAUUAAACAAAUAAUUAAUGCCUACAUGCGAAUAAGAAUGUUUAAUUUGAGCAAAAGACUUUCACGUCUUGCUCAAGGCACUUCUGUUAGACAUGUGUACACAUA